Molecule: ribosomal RNA, 495 nt
Filed under: uncultured bacterium
Lineage: Bacteria
Description: partial 16S ribosomal RNA
Rfam family: Bacterial small subunit ribosomal RNA
Source: RNAcentral
AUGAACGCUGGCGGCGUGCCUCAUACAUGCAAGUCGAGCGAACGGACGAGAAGCUUGCUUUUCUGAUGUUAGCGGCGGACGGGUGAGUAACACGUGGAUAACCUACCUAUAAGACUGGGAUAACUUCGGGAAACCGGAGCUAAUACCGGAUAAUAUUUUGAACCGCAUGGUUCAAAAGUGAAAGACGGUCCUGCUGUCACUUAUAGAUGGAUCCGCGCUGCAUUAGCUAGUUGGUAAGGUAACGGCUUACCAAGGCAACGAUGCAUAGCCGACCUGAGAGGGGGACCGGCCAACCUGGACCUGAGACCCGGCCCAGACCCCUCCGGGAGGCCGCAGUAGGGAUUCUUCCGCAAUGGGCGAAAGCCUAACGGAGCAACCCCGCGGGAGUGAUGAAGGUUUUCGGCUCGUAAAACUCUUUUAUUAGGGAAGAACAUUUGGGUAAGUAACUGUCCCCAUUUUGCCGGUACCUAAUCAAAAAGCCCCGGCUAACUACGU